AUGGCCGGGCUUCUCCCCGUCCGUACGGCGUCAGAUACGGUGCCCGCGAGGAGUCGGAGACCUUUUGUAUCGCGGAUCCGGUCGACCGGAGCCUGUGGUGGUGAUUCUCUUCACUGGAAACUGCGCCGGCGAUGGUGGCAGCUCCCGGCGAGGCGACGGUUGUUGGGGCUUCAGUCCCUGUUUGUUUGGGGGACGAGGUUUGCAGCAGUUCUUCAUCCUUUGCGUCUCCGGCGAGCUGGAGUCUUGGUGGAGGCAUGGAGCCAUCCAAUCUGUGGAGAUUAUCCCCGGCCGAUGCGCCCGAACCCGACCUUUGUUCCUGUUCGCUGGACAGGAUCUACAUGCGGCCUCCAAAGCCUUUGA
This 360-nucleotide ribosomal RNA is filed under the name Triticum aestivum (bread wheat). RNAcentral describes it as "partial small subunit ribosomal RNA". Lineage: Eukaryota; Viridiplantae; Streptophyta; Magnoliopsida; Poales; Poaceae. The record is from RNAcentral.